RNAcentral lists this ribosomal RNA (557 nucleotides) under uncultured bacterium. RNAcentral's name for it is "bacterial SSU rRNA". It matches the Rfam family "Bacterial small subunit ribosomal RNA", at positions 102 to 694 of the family's 1533-position model. The record is from RNAcentral.
ACGGGUGAGUAACACGUGGGAACGUACCCUUUUCUACGGAAUAACCCAGGGAAACUUGGACUAAUACCGUAUGUGCCCUUCGGGGGAAAGAUUUAUCGGAAAAGGAUCGGCCCGCGUUGGAUUAGCUAGUUGGUGGGGUAAAGGCCUACCAAGGCGACGAUCCAUAGCUGGUCUGAGAGGAUGAUCAGCCACAUCGGGACUGAGACACGGCCCAAACUCCUACGGGAGGCAGCAGUGGGGAAUAUUGGACAAUGGGCGCAAGCCUGAUCCAGCCAUGCCGCGUGAGUGAUGAAGGCCUUAGGGUUGUAAAGCUCUUUCACCGGAGAAGAUAAUGACGGUAUCCGGAGAAGAAGCCCCGGCUAACUUCGUGCCAGCAGCCGCGGUAAUACGAAGGGGGCUAGCGUUGUUCGGAUUUACUGGGCGUAAAGCGCACGUAGGCGGAUCGAUCAGUCAGGGGUGAAAUCCCAGAGCUCAACUCUGGAACUGCCUUUGAUACUGUCGAUCUGGAGUAUGGAAGAGGUGAGUGGAAUUCCGAGUGUAGAGGUGAAAUUCGUAGA